Molecule: ribosomal RNA, 492 nt
Filed under: uncultured bacterium
Lineage: Bacteria
Description: partial 16S ribosomal RNA
Rfam family: Bacterial small subunit ribosomal RNA
Source: RNAcentral
AGUGAACGCUGGCGGUAGGCCUAACACAUGCAAGUCGAACGGCAGCACAGUAAGAGCUUGCUCUUACGGGUGGCGAGUGGCGGACGGGUGAGGAAUACAUCGGAAUCUACUUUUUCGUGGGGGAUAACGUAGGGAAACUUACGCUAAUACCGCAUACGACCUACGGGUGAAAGCAGGGGAUCUUCGGACCUUGCGCGGUUGAAUGAGCCGAUGUCGGAUUAGCUAGUUGGCGGGGUAAAGGCCCACCAAGGCGACGAUCCGUAGCUGGUCUGAGAGGAUGAUCAGCCACACUGGAACUGAGACACGGUCCAGACUCCUACGGGAGGCAGCAGUGGGGAAUAUUGGACAAUGGGCGAAAGCCUGAUCCAGCCAUACCGCGUGGGUGAAGAAGGCCUUCGGGUUGUAAAGCCCUUUUGUUGGGAAAGAAAAGCAGCAGGUUAAUACCCCGCUGUUCUGACGGUACCCAAAGAAUAAGCACCGGCUAACUUCGUG